UAAGCGUGGGGGCACCCUGACCGCAAUGCCGCGUGAGUGAAGAAGGCCUUCGGGUUGUAAAGCUCUUUUGUCAGGGAAGAAACAGCAGCUCUAACACAGUCUGCGAAUGACGGUACCUGAAGAAUAAGCACCGGCUAACUACGUGCCAGCAGCCGCGGUAAUACGUAGGGUGCAAGCGUUAAUCGGAAUUACUGGGCGUAAAGCGUGCGCAGGCGGUUAUACAAGACAGGCGUGAAAUCCCCGGGCUCAACCUGGGAAUGGCGCCUGUGACUGUAUAGCUAGAGUGUGUCAGAGGGGGGUAGAAUUCCACGUGUAGCAGUGAAAUGCGUAGAUAUGUGGAGGAAUACCAAUGGCGAAGGCAGCCCCCUGGGAUAACACUGACGCUCAUGCACGAAA
This 396-nucleotide ribosomal RNA is filed under the name uncultured bacterium. Its description in RNAcentral is "bacterial SSU rRNA". It matches the Rfam family "Bacterial small subunit ribosomal RNA", at positions 359 to 758 of the family's 1533-position model. The record is from RNAcentral.